Molecule: long non-coding RNA, 1109 nt
Filed under: Canis lupus dingo (dingo)
Lineage: Eukaryota; Metazoa; Chordata; Mammalia; Carnivora; Canidae
Description: lncRNA (ENSCAFG00020013186.1)
Source: RNAcentral
GGAUCGCUAAUGAAGGACGAGGUACCUGGAGGGGAAAGGGGACCUCGAGGAGGGGACUUCGGAUGGUGUAAUUCCCUCCCGAAAUACCCGCUCCGGGAACAAGGUUUUUCUUCCGUCCCGGAUGAACGAAACCUUCCAUCCCGCACUUCUCAUAGAGACAUGCUGUCAGGUUGUGCAGUGGAUCGGUGUGUGUCCCUUGUAACAGGACGUGCCUUCCCCUCUGAAGAUCACACUCUGCCAACAGGAAAGGGUGAUGCUGGUCUCCUGUUUAAAAACCGAAUUCCCUACAGAGUCAGCCAUGAAAUCUCCAGCAGUCUGAAGGAUGCCUCAGGAGCUCAGCUCAUUUGUAAAGCCAAAAUCCAUGAAAUACUGAGAGGUCCAGAAAUGCUAACCAAACCUUUUCAAGUCCAGAUUAUCAACUGAUACUUCCUCAGGAGCCAGGUUCUCCAAUUCUUCUUCAAUUCACUGGUGAGCCAUGAACUAUGAACAGCCAGCAAUGAAUGCAGCAAGGAGAGCCCUAGACCCGCUGUUGGAGGCAGGCCUGGAAACCAAAAGCUCUGGUCUGCAGUGCCUGGGCUGUGUGGCAGGCUGGGAUUCUGUUUCCUGCAGAGAUGAGUACCCACACCUCCACUCAGGGCAGUGAAUGAGAAAGCUCUAGAUUUGGCAUCAGACCAGAGUAUCGGAAGACCUGCUCCAACUCAACAUACCAGUUAAUUAUUUGGGGAUAAUUAUUUGAUGGUGUUCUGUAGCCUCAAUUAAUUCCUAUAUCUGUUUUGUCUUUUUGUAUUUUUUUUCAAAUUAACUAGAAAACAAGAAGAAUAAUUAUAUUUUAUAUAUAUAUCUUUCCACUCACCACCACCCCCAUUCCAAUCACCAAACCAUCUACUUUAUAGUCCUGAAGACUGGAUUAAAAGACUACUGGAAUUUAUGUCUUUGCGUUUUACCUUAAAUAAUACUGGCCAAGGCGGGGAGGGGAGAUUAUUGAAAUCCUAAGCAUCUAUAUCCAACACUAGAUGUCACUACCCUGAUAUUUUGAAUUGGGUAUUCAACUACUAUUUUUUCCAAUCUGUUUUAUGUUCUUCCUCAAAAUAAUAGUAAUAAAUGCCAGA